GAUGAACGCUGGCGGCUUGCCUAAUACAUGCAAGUCGAGCGAACGGACGAGAAGCUUGCUUCUCUGAUGUUAGCGGCGGACGGGUGAGUAACACGUGGAUAACCUACCUAUAAGACUGGGAUAACUUCGGGAAACCGGAGCUAAUACCGGAUAAUAUUUUGAACCGCAUGGUUCAAAAGUGAAAGACGGUCUUGCUGUCACUUAUAGAUGGAUCCGCGCUGCAUUAGCUAGUUGGUAAGGUAACGGCUUACCAAGGCAACGAUGCAUAGCCGACCUGAGAGGGUGAUCGGCCACACUGGAACUGAGACACGGUCCAGACUCCUACGGGAGGCAGCAGUAGGGAAUCUUCCGCAAAGGGCGAAAGCCUGACGGAGCAACGCCGCGUGAGUGAUGAAGGUCUUCGGAUCGUAAAACUCUGUUAUUAGGGAAGAACAUAUGUGUAAGUAACUGUGCACAUCUUGACGGUACCUAAUCAGAAAGCCACGGCUAACUACGUG
This 497-nucleotide ribosomal RNA is filed under the name uncultured bacterium. RNAcentral's name for it is "partial 16S ribosomal RNA". It matches the Rfam family "Bacterial small subunit ribosomal RNA", at positions 28 to 507 of the family's 1533-position model. The record is from RNAcentral.